UUAGUCAAUAAAGAUAUUUUCCUUCUCUUCUCCCAUCUUUACUUCGAUAUCUUCCUCUUGCAGUUUCUUUUUCUUUCUCCUCCUUCAAUGGAGGUUUCUCCAUCCGAUUGGAUUUCCCAUUUUCAACAAAACCAGCAACACACAUCAUCUUCUCCCUCUCUCUCGGCCAAUUUCUUACCCCGAAUGCUUAUUCUCUAAACCCUAAACCCAUUACGGAGACACCAGUGUCAGUUCCUUGGUGAGCCUAUAGAUAUCAUGACUGCUCUGUGACCUGAAGAUGGGAUUGAAUUCGGAGUUUUUUAGAGCAAUGCAAUCUCGUCAGUGACAAGAAUUUGUAGACGCAUUGAAUUUUAGUCAGGCUGUGGUGCGCUUCUUGUCGAGCUCUAUUUCCCAAAGUAAGUAUCCUGCUUGCUAUUUGCUGGUUUUCGUUGUGCUUCCCUGCUUUGGCAUGUUGUCUACUUGGUCAUUGCAGUGUUAUUUCUAACGCAAGUUAGAUUAGGUGUUCGUCUGUAAUCACAUAAAUAACCAGUUAUGUGCAUCAUUCAAGAUUCAGUCUUCUUAGCAAUUUUGUGGAAAUUCUUGAUUGUGAGAUUGCUAGGGCAUUGUGAGAAGCAUAUGAGGCAAGUUGGCUACGUCGCUGGCACACGGAGGCAGCCACAGAUAUUUUGUAGCUAUGCUUCGAAGCCGGCGCGUGGCAAACUCUCAACGAGCAGAUUCUGCUCAUUUCCAAGCGCGGAGGACAGUUGAAACAUGUUCGGUAGAUUUUUUGCUGUGCCGGGUUUGUUUUAUUUUGCUGAUAUUUUUUCAAUCAUAGUCGACUUUAUUCUUGUUUUAGCAUUCUCAUCAUUAACCUUUUCAUUAAUUUGGUUUGAGAUGAGAUGAAAUGUCGAUUUUGUUCUUUGCCCUUUAAAGUUCAGUAUUUAGUAGUAGUACGAAGUUGAAAACGGCUAUAUGCAUUUUUUGAACUCCUUCAUGGCUUGAUUAGUGAUGUUGCUGCAAGCUCUUUUGCUGCCUUGUAUAGAUUCUUUAUCGCCUGUUAUUUAUUGUAUGGCCCCACUCACUCUCUCUCUCUCUCUCUCAGCAUGCUCUGUAUAUGGUAAGGAACAAAAACUUAAUCACCGGAGAGUUCACGAAAAGCAAACUUUGGCUUGAGGACUUAGUAGGAAGUGAGAGGCUUGCAAAAACUGAUAUGCAAGGCAUGCGGCUUAAAGAAGCUCAGAACAUCAAUAGGUCACUCUCUGCUCUCGGAGAUGUAAUAUCUGCCUUAGCAAAUAAAAGCAGCCACAUAUCAUACAGCUUUCAGGAACUCAAUGCUGACCCGUUUAUUCAAUUUUGCGACCCUAGUUAGAGGUGUUGAGUUGGUCCUGCUAGAGAACAAGUUGAUAUACAAGAGCUCCAGAAGAUAAAAACAAUGCUUGAGAAAGCACGACUGGAAUGCAAGGCCAAAGAUGAAUCUUUAAAAAAGGCUUGAAGAAAAUCAACAGAACCUUGAAAUCAAAGCCAAGGGAAAGGAUCAGUUUUACAAAAACCAUUUGGGAGAAACUAAAAGAGUUAGAAGGCCAAGUAGAGUUGAAUGUUAAUUAUGGAGCCUAAAAUAUCUCCUACCAUGUUUAGGAUUUGUUUCCUUGAAGUAUAUUUCCUUGUGAUAGAUUUAUUCCUUAAAA
Molecule: long non-coding RNA, 1664 nt
Organism: Salvia splendens (bonfire salvia)
Lineage: Eukaryota; Viridiplantae; Streptophyta; Magnoliopsida; Lamiales; Lamiaceae
Exons: 3
Source: RefSeq, a predicted model, not a curated record